CAGUAGUCGCGGUAAUACGGAGGGUGCAAGCGUUAAUCGGAAUUACUGGGCGUAAAGCGCACGCAGGCGGUCUGACAAGUCAGAUGUGAAAUCCCCGGGCUUAACCUGGGAACUGCAUUUGAAACUGUCAGGCUGGAGUCUUGUAGAGGGGGGUGGAAUUCCAGGUGUAGCGGUGAAAUGCGUAGAGAUCUGGAGGAAUACCGGUGGCGAAGGCGGCCCCCUGGACAAAGACUGACGCUCAGGUGCGAAAGCGUGGGGAGCAAACAGGAUUAGAUACCCCUGUAGUCCCUGUCUCUUAUAC
This 301-nucleotide ribosomal RNA is filed under the name uncultured bacterium. RNAcentral's name for it is "partial 16S ribosomal RNA". It matches the Rfam family "Bacterial small subunit ribosomal RNA", at positions 509 to 807 of the family's 1533-position model. The record is from RNAcentral.